CUGCUGCCUCCCGUAGGAGUUUGGUCCGUGUCUCAGUACCAAUGUGGGGGGUUAACCUCUCAGUCCCCCUAUGUAUCGUUGUCUUGGUGAGCCGUUACCCCACCAACUAACUAAUACAACGCAUGCCCAUCCAUUACCACCGGAGUUUUCAACCCAAGAAGAUGCCUCCCUGGAUGUUAUGGGGUAUUAGUACCGAUUUCUCAGUGUUAUCCCCCUGUAAUGGGUAGGUUGCAUACGCAUUACGCACCCGUGCGCCGGUCGCCGACAUAG
Molecule: ribosomal RNA, 270 nt
Filed under: uncultured bacterium
Lineage: Bacteria
Description: partial 16S ribosomal RNA
Source: RNAcentral